AUUGAACGCUGGCGGCAUGCCUUACACAUGCAAGUCGAACGGCAGCACGGGAGCAAUCCUGGUGGCGAGUGGCGAACGGGUGAGUAAUACAUCGGAACGUGCCCAGUAGUGGGGGAUAACCCGGCGAAAGCCGGACUAAUACCGCAUACGACCUACGGGUGAAAGCGGGGGAUCGCAAGACCUCGCGCUAUCGGAGCGGCCGAUGUCAGAUUAGCUAGUUGGUGGGGUAAAGGCCUACCAAGGCGACGAUCUGUAGCUGGUCUGAGAGGACGACCAGCCACACUGGGACUGAGACACGGCCCAGACUCCUACGGGAGGCAGCAGUGGGGAAUUUUGGACAAUGGGCGCGAGCCUGAUCCAGCCAUGCCGCGUGCGGGAAGAAGGCCUUCGGGUUGUAAACCGCUUUUGUCAGGGAAGAAACGCUCCGGGCUAAUACCACGGAGUAAUGACGGUACCUGAAGAAUAAGCACCGGCUAACUACGUG
This 484-nucleotide ribosomal RNA is filed under the name uncultured bacterium. RNAcentral describes it as "partial 16S ribosomal RNA". It matches the Rfam family "Bacterial small subunit ribosomal RNA", at positions 29 to 507 of the family's 1533-position model. The record is from RNAcentral.